GCGCCUGUAGCUCAGUCGGUUAGAGCGCAUCCCUGAUAAGGAUGAGGUCGGAAGUUCGAUUCUUCCCAGGCGCA
RNAcentral lists this transfer RNA (74 nucleotides) under Antricoccus suffuscus. It matches the Rfam family "tRNA". Rfam says of the family: Transfer RNA (tRNA) molecules are approximately 80 nucleotides in length. Their secondary structure includes four short double-helical elements and three loops (D, anti-codon, and T loops). Lineage: Bacteria; Bacillati; Actinomycetota; Actinomycetes; Geodermatophilales; Antricoccaceae. The record is from Rfam by way of RNAcentral. RNAcentral also lists the same sequence under 3 other names.